Non-coding RNA from Arachis ipaensis, 386 nucleotides. Lineage: Eukaryota; Viridiplantae; Streptophyta; Magnoliopsida; Fabales; Fabaceae. The record is from RefSeq and is a predicted model, not a curated record.
AGUAGUAAUAAUAAUGCAUUAAUUUGGAUAGAGGAAUUGGUGGUGGAGUUCAAGCAGUACCCUGAAGCAUCAUACAUGAGAAAAAUAGUCCUAAACAGAAGGAAUUCAGGGGAACAAGGAAGCAGAGCCACUGGUUUCUUUGGUGGAAUUAGAAAGCUCCACAAUCACCAUGAUAUUCAUUUAUGGAACAACCGCCUCACGGCACAAGCCCUCCAAUGUUUCAACCUUGGAUUCAAGAAGCCCACCAACAAUCUCACUUAUAUAGACUAAUUGACAGAAUUACUCAAUUUAAUGAUGAUGGAGCCUAGACUACACUAUGCACCUCCAGUAGAAGCACAGUAUCCUGUCCAUGGCCAUCAGUAGAGAUUUUGAAAUGAAUUUCAGGU